AUGGUAAGAGCAAUUGUAAUGAUAUUACUCAUGGCCAUCGUGCUUGUUGCCACUACGCCGACGACACACGCCAUGGACAUCACAGAUAGGGACUUGGCGUCUGAGGAGUCCCAAUGGGCACUAUACGAGCGCUGGUGCAAGCAUCACAAUGUGGGAGACAAACUCAGUGACAAGGCUCGGCGCUUCAAAGUGUUCAAGGAGAACGCUCGCAUGAUCCAUGAAUUCAACCAAGGUGACGCACCCUACAAGCUGAGCCUCAACCUCUUCGGCGACAUGACUGAUGAAGAGGUUGACCACAUGUAUGGUCGCUGCUCCAACAUUAGGCCGGACGGCGGGAAGCGGAGCCAAGACCAGUUCACACACGAAGUUGUUGUCGCGCGUGACAACUUACCAAUGUAUGUGGACUGGCGCAUGACAGGCUACGACCAACGCCCGUCAGUUGUGACAAGCGUGAAGAGACAAGGAGGGUGCGGGUCUUGUUGGGCUUUUGCGGCGGCAGCAGCAGUGGAGGGCAUCAACUCCAUCAGGACGAGGAACCUGGUGUCAUUGUCAGCGCAACAGCUCGUAGACUGGGACAAGGGAAGUGGUGGUUGUGUUGGCGGCGGCGCACUAGUGGCCUUAAAAUACAUUUAUAAUCAUGGCGGCAUCACCACAAAGGCUAGCUACCCAUACGUUGCCUAUAAGCAUACCUACUGCUUGGUGUCGAAACGUAACCCUGUCAUCACCAUCGAUGGCAUCAAAGAGGUGCCGCAAAAGGAUGAGGUGGCAUUAAUGCAGGCGGUGGCAGCCCAACCCGUUGUUGUGGUGGUUGACCCGAACGCCUUCAGGCGCUAUGGAGGAGGCAUCUUUGUGGGUCCGUGUGGUACGGAUCGGACCCACUCAAUGUUGGUGGUGGGCUACGGCACCACCGAUGACCAUGACCCCAAAAGACGCAUAGAUUACUGGAUCAUAAAGAACUCAUAG
RNAcentral lists this ribosomal RNA (963 nucleotides) under Triticum aestivum (bread wheat). RNAcentral describes it as "partial small subunit ribosomal RNA". The record is from RNAcentral. Lineage: Eukaryota; Viridiplantae; Streptophyta; Magnoliopsida; Poales; Poaceae.